Molecule: long non-coding RNA, 538 nt
Organism: Quercus lobata
Lineage: Eukaryota; Viridiplantae; Streptophyta; Magnoliopsida; Fagales; Fagaceae
Exons: 2
Source: RefSeq, a predicted model, not a curated record
UGAGAACUUCCAGUCAUCCUUUUGACUGGAAGAUGCCUAGAGGAAAGAAAGAGCAUCUUGACAAAGGAAAAAGAAAAAGAAGGAUUAAAAAUAAUUGUUGUGGUUGUUGUUUUGCUAGGACAAUUCCUGGAAAGAAAGGGCCACUUGCACACCGUUCAAAGCUGCUUUUGAGCAUAAGUAAAGAUAAAAGAAAAGGUUGGAAUCAUUUUUUUGAGAGCAUUGCCUAAGAACAAAAACAAAUUCUAGUUUAAAGCAAAAAGUUGUUCUAUAAAUUAGAACUGUAUCCAGAAGCGUUGUUUCAAGAGGUUAUUAUAGCACUUCACAACAACCAAUUUCUGCAAUUCUCCAAAUUUAUUUACCAACAUAUUUCCUUUGGAUUCAAUGAGUACUCAAGGAGCCUCAUUGUUGUCAUCAUCAUCUUCUUCUUCAAGACGAUGGAUAUAUGACGUUUUCCUUAGUUUCAGAGGCGAGGACACACGCAAUAGUUUUACUGACCAUCUAUAUACUGCUUUGCAACGUUCGGGUAUUUCUACCUUUA